CCUACGGGUGGCAGCAGUGGGGAAUAUUGCACAAUGGGGGAAACCCUGAUGCAGCAACGCCGCGUGGGUGAAGAAGUAUUUCGGUAUGUAAAGCCCUAUCAGCAGGGAAGAGAAUGACGGUACCUACCUAAGAAGCCCCGGCUAACUACGUGCCAGCAACCGCGGUAAUACGUAGGGGGCAAGCGUUAUCCGGAUUUACGUGUUGUAAAGGGAUCGUAGACGGUUGAGCAAGUCUGAAGGGAAAGCCCGCGGAUCAACUGCGGAACGGCUUUGGAAACUGUGUAACUGGAGUGCUGGAGAGGUAAGCGGAAUUCCUGGUGUAGCGGUGAAAUGCGUAGAGAUCAGGAGGAACACCGGCGGCGAAGGCGGCUUACUGGACAGUAACUGACGUUGAGGCUCGAAAGCGUGGGGAGCAAACAGGAUUAGAUACCCCUGUAGUC
This 440-nucleotide ribosomal RNA is filed under the name uncultured bacterium. RNAcentral's name for it is "partial 16S ribosomal RNA". It matches the Rfam family "Bacterial small subunit ribosomal RNA", at positions 338 to 795 of the family's 1533-position model. The record is from RNAcentral.